CAACGUAUGCAACCUACCUGUAACAGGAGUAUAGCUCGGGGAAACUCGAAUUAACCCUCCAUAAGAUCGUGAAGUGGCAUCACUUAGCGCUUAAAACUGAGGUGGUUACAGAUGGGCAUGCGUCUGAUUAGUUAGUUGGCGGGGUAAUGGCCCACCAAGACGAUGAUCAGUAGGGGAACUGAGAGGUUGAUCCCCCACACUGGCACUGAGAUACGGGCCAG
This 221-nucleotide ribosomal RNA is filed under the name uncultured bacterium. RNAcentral's name for it is "partial 16S ribosomal RNA". It matches the Rfam family "Bacterial small subunit ribosomal RNA", at positions 113 to 334 of the family's 1533-position model. The record is from RNAcentral.